CAUUUAAAGAAAACAACGUAAAAAAAGCUAAUUAAAACAAAAUCAAAAAGAGGAAAGACAAAAACAAUAGAAAGGGAAAGUGAAGUUGCUUAGCAGCUUUGGAGAUGUAUACUCUGGCCAAGCGCCGGCCAAACUCCGGUGAACUAUUCACGGAUCUCUCUUUGUCUACCACUACAAGCCAACCUGAAGACAACAACUAUAGAAGCAACAGGGAGCAACUACAGAUCAGGAGGAUGCAUUGAGUUUAUUCCAGAUGAAGAUUUUUUUUUCUUUUUCGGAUUAGCAAGGAAUCAGUGAUAUUCUCUCACAAAAAAAAUGAAGGGUAUUUGGUUGUGGGUCGAGUGAAUCUUUUAUUUUAGGUAAAUAAAUAAAUAAAAUUGAGUAAAUGGCUGAGAUGAAGCCACGUGUCCGUCCGUUAGUUUUAAGGGUAUACACAACCCAAAAGAGUAACGGUGAGGGUAUAUACAACCUUAAAGUAUAACGAAGGAUAUUAGCAUACCAUUUGUGAUAGUUUGGGGGUAAUAUCAGCAAGUAUACGUUCCGGCUAUUGUUUGUAUAAUUUCAGCAUUAUUGAGGUAUUUGUAUAAUUUGUUUUGUAUAUUUUUUUUGUGAUCACAUUAUGUAGUAUAGAUUCUAUGGAUUUAGCGUAUCAAUAUUUAUUGUGAUU
Long non-coding RNA from Solanum tuberosum (potato), 667 nucleotides. RefSeq lists it as uncharacterized. Lineage: Eukaryota; Viridiplantae; Streptophyta; Magnoliopsida; Solanales; Solanaceae. The transcript has 2 exons. The record is from RefSeq and is a predicted model, not a curated record.